AGAUAUGAGGGUAAUCGAGCUGUCAGCCAUUAUCGCCAGUGUUGAUUUGGUUGAUCUGCGUGGCUAGGCACCUGUCUCUUCCUCCCUCAGCACCCGAGCCUCGUCCUUUCUGAAGCUGUGUAGUUGGUGAAAAGAAAGAUCUUCCCUGAUAGAGGAGGGCUAGUCUUUAUCAAGAGCAUAUGAACAGCUGCACCUCAAACCUCCAAGCAAACUCUCUCAGGGUGUUUGAUUGGCCUUUCCCUGCUUUAACAGGGCAGUUUGUCGUAUUGAUUGUACUUGCAACUUGAAACAUUUAUGAGAAGGCCUCAUAAAUGUU
This 316-nucleotide small RNA is filed under the name Meriones unguiculatus (Mongolian gerbil). Its description in RNAcentral is "7SK RNA (ENSMUGG00000001127.1)". The stretch from base 1 to 278 matches the Rfam family "7SK RNA". Rfam says of the family: 7SK was discovered as an abundant small nuclear RNA in the mid-70s but a possible function has only recently been suggested. Two independent studies have found that 7SK RNA binds the CDK9/cyclin T complex (known as elongation factor P-TEFb). Lineage: Eukaryota; Metazoa; Chordata; Mammalia; Rodentia; Muridae. The record is from RNAcentral.